Molecule: unclassified non-coding RNA, 336 nt
Filed under: soil metagenome
Description: partial contains 5.8S ribosomal RNA, internal transcribed spacer 2, and large subunit ribosomal RNA
Rfam family: 5.8S ribosomal RNA (bases 1-120)
Source: RNAcentral
GAUGAAUAACGUAGCGAAAUGCGAUAAGUAAUGUGAAUUGCAGAAUUCAGUGAAUCAUCGAAUCUUUGAACGCACAUUGCGCCCGCCAGUAUUCUGGCGGGCAUGCCUGUUCGAGCGUCAUUUCAACCAUCAAGCCCCAGGCUUGUGUUGGGGACCUGCGGCUGCCGCAGGCCCUGAAAACCAGUGGCGGGCUCGCUGUCACACCGGGCGUAGUAGAUUUUAUCUCGCUCAGGGCGUGCUGCGGGUUCCGGCCGUUAAAAAGCCUUUUUUACCCAAGGUUGACCUCGGAUCAGGUAGGAAUACCCGCUGAACUUAAGCAUAUCAAUAAGCGGAGGA